UUCAGAUCACCCAGGUCUAGAUAAUGUGGUACAGAUUGAGAAAUUUCAAGAAAAGGCUUACAUGGAGUUCCAAGACUACGUAACAAAAGCAUAUCCGGAUGAUACUUACAGACUGUCUAGACUUCUCCUCCGAUUGCCUGCUCUUAGGCUUAUGAGUGCUGCCAUCACUGAAGAGCUAUUCUUUGCAGGACUGAUUGGAAAUGUUCAGAUUGAUAGCAUCAUCCCCUAUAUCCUGCGAAUGGAGACAGCGGACUACAACUCUCAGAUAAUUGGUCAUGUUGUAUAAAAGUACCAGUCAAGGAUUCUCUACCAUGGCAGUCAUGGUGAUGUAAAUGCAUACCCUGUCUCCAAGAGAUGGCAAUAAGCCUUCCCAUGCACCUUUCCAAAGAAGGCUAAUAUUCCUCCUUUCCAGUACACUUGGGAAACGUGGCAGAGUGUAUUAAGGAAUAUAGGUUUGCUUCCUAUGUUUCGCCUGAUCUUCAAGGACUUGUAAAUUAACUUGGUAUCUGAAGAAAGUCGAGAGUUGUCCAUCCUAUUUUUGUAGAUAGAUGAACUUGGAAUAUUUGUUUAUGAAGUCCAGGCUUGUGAAGAAACUGAAGAAGCUUUGACUGAACUAAGGUAUCUCAACUUAGUUUGAUGUUUUAGAAAAAUAAAUUAACUUUCCUCUC
This is a non-coding RNA of Leptosomus discolor (cuckoo roller), 668 nucleotides long. Lineage: Eukaryota; Metazoa; Chordata; Aves; Leptosomiformes; Leptosomidae. The record is from RefSeq and is a predicted model, not a curated record.